AUUGAACGCUGGCGGCAUGCUUUACACAUGCAAGUCGAACGGUAACAGGCCGCAAGGUGCUGACGAGUGGCGAACGGAUGAGUAAUGCAUCGGAACGUGCCCAGUCGUGGGGGAUAACGCAGAGAAUGCUGUGCUAAUACCGCAUACUAUCUAUGGAUGAAAACGGGGGACCGUAAGGCCCCGCGCGAUUGUAACGGACAAUGUCAGAUUAGGGAGUUGGUGGGGUAACGGCUCACCAAGCCAACGAUCUGUAGCUGGUCUGAGAGGACAACCAGCCAAACUGGGACUGAGACACGGCCCAGACUCCUACGGGAGGCAGCAGUGGGGAAUUUUGGACAAUGGGCGCAAGCCUGAUCCAGCAAUGCCGCGUGCAGGAAGAAGGCCUUCGGGUUGUAAACUGCUUUUGUACGGAACGAAGAGGUUUGGGUUAAUACCCUGGGCCGAUGACGGUACCGUAAGAAUAAGCACCGGCUAACUACGUGCCAGCAGCCGCCGUAA
Molecule: ribosomal RNA, 498 nt
Filed under: uncultured bacterium
Lineage: Bacteria
Description: partial 16S ribosomal RNA
Rfam family: Bacterial small subunit ribosomal RNA
Source: RNAcentral